AUACGGAGGAUGCGAGCGUUAUCCGGAUUUAUUGGGUUUAAAGGGUGCGUAGGCUGUUUGGUAAGUCAGGGGUGAAAUGCCGUCGCUCAACGACGGAGCUGCCCUUGAUACUGCCGAGCUGGAGUACGGAUGCCGUUGGAGGAAUGAGUGGUGUAGCGGUGAAAUGCAUAGAUAUCACUCAGAACACCGAUUGCGAAGGCAUCUGACGAAUCCGUCAUUGACGCUGAGGCACGAAAGCGGGGGGAUAGAACAGGAUUAGAUACCCUGGUAUUCCACGCCGUAAACGAUGAUGACUAACCGCCUGCGAUAUAGUGUAGGUGGCCAAGCGAAAGCGAUAAGUCAUCCACCUGGGGAGUACGACCGCAAGGUUGAAACUCAAAGGAAUUGACGGGG
This 393-nucleotide ribosomal RNA is filed under the name uncultured bacterium. RNAcentral describes it as "partial 16S ribosomal RNA". It matches the Rfam family "Bacterial small subunit ribosomal RNA", at positions 523 to 918 of the family's 1533-position model. The record is from RNAcentral.